Molecule: ribosomal RNA, 826 nt
Filed under: Bacillus sp. (in: firmicutes)
Lineage: Bacteria; Bacillati; Bacillota; Bacilli; Caryophanales; Bacillaceae
Description: bacterial SSU rRNA
Rfam family: Bacterial small subunit ribosomal RNA
Source: RNAcentral
UGCUCAGGACGAACGCUGGCGGCGUGCCUAAUACAUGCAAGUCGAGCGGACAGAAGGGAGCUUGCUCCCGGAUGUUAGCGGCGGACGGGUGAGUAACACGUGGGUAACCUGCCUGUAAGACUGGGAUAACUCCGGGAAACCGGAGCUAAUACCGGAUAGUUCCUUGAACCGCAUGGUUCAAGGAUGAAAGACGGUUUCGGCUGUCACUUACAGAUGGACCCGCGGCGCAUUAGCUAGUUGGUGGGGUAAUGGCUCACCAAGGCGACGAUGCGUAGCCGACCUGAGAGGGUGAUCGGCCACACUGGGACUGAGACACGGCCCAGACUCCUACGGGAGGCAGCAGUAGGGAAUCUUCCGCAAUGGACGAAAGUCUGACGGAGCAACGCCGCGUGAGUGAUGAAGGUUUUCGGAUCGUAAAGCUCUGUUGUUAGGGAAGAACAAGUGCGAGAGUAACUGCUCGCACCUUGACGGUACCUAACCAGAAAGCCACGGCUAACUACGUGCCAGCAGCCGCGGUAAUACGUAGGUGGCAAGCGUUGUCCGGAAUUAUUGGGCGUAAAGGGCUCGCAGGCGGUUUCUUAAGUCUGAUGUGAAAGCCCCCGGCUCAACCGGGGAGGGUCAUUGGAAACUGGGAAACUUGAGUGCAGAAGAGGAGAGUGGAAUUCCACGUGUAGCGGUGAAAUGCGUAGAGAUGUGGAGGAACACCAGUGGCGAAGGCGACUCUCUGGUCUGUAACUGACGCUGAGGAGCGAAAGCGUGGGGAGCGAACAGGAUUAGAUACCCUGGUAGUCCACGCCGUAAACGAUGAGUGCUAAGUGUUAGGGGG